AUUGCUUCUCAGCCUUUUGGCUAAGAUCAAGUAUAGUAUCUGUUCUUAUCAGUUUUAAAAAAAAGUGCGGAACACAUUCUUGCUGAGGAAGCCACUUUUGUGAUCAGGGAGUGAAACAGAAAGGCGAUGACGAGUGGCUGCUUUUAACAGGACAGCCGAGAUGUGAACCAGCUCCCAACCCUUU
Molecule: small nuclear RNA, 184 nt
Organism: Thalassophryne amazonica
Lineage: Eukaryota; Metazoa; Chordata; Actinopteri; Batrachoidiformes; Batrachoididae
Product: U2 spliceosomal RNA
Exons: 1
Source: RefSeq, a predicted model, not a curated record